This is a non-coding RNA of Oryza punctata, 204 nucleotides long. The record is from Rfam. Lineage: Eukaryota; Viridiplantae; Streptophyta; Magnoliopsida; Poales; Poaceae.
AAAGAACGUAGUUUUGUGUUUUUAUCUAACAUUUAAUCGUUCGUUUUAUUUGAAAUUUUUUUAUGAUUGGUAUUUUUAUUGUUAUUAGAUGGUAAAACAUGAAUAUCACUUUAAGUAUGACUAAUUUUUAUUAUUUUUUCACAAUAUUUUUAAAUAAGAUGGACGAUCAAACAUUAAACACAGAAACCCAUAACUGCACUUGAA